This 219-nucleotide long non-coding RNA is filed under the name Lathyrus oleraceus (garden pea). Its description in RNAcentral is "Pisum sativum (pea) long non-coding RNA (PSAT_LNC023568)". The record is from RNAcentral. Lineage: Eukaryota; Viridiplantae; Streptophyta; Magnoliopsida; Fabales; Fabaceae.
AGAAGGUUUUCUCUGGCGGAGCCUUGUUGUUAACAACCAUGGAUGGCGAGGAUUUUCCAUCCCCUGUGAACGCGGACGCAGUUAAAAAAUACUUCGUAUAAGAGACCCGCUGGACGAAAAGAAUAAAAUAGUCCAGGAAAAAAUGGGCAUCCCGGCGAACCGAAAAAAAAAAAAAGAGAAAUAGGGUUCGGGCAAAAUUAGGGAUAAAAAGGAAAAAAU